GUGGGGAAUAUUGGACAAUGGGCGAAAGCCUGAUCCAGCCAUGCCGCGUGUGUGAAGAAGGUCUUCGGAUUGUAAAGCACUUUAAGUUGGGAGGAAGGGCAGUAAGUUAAUACCUUGCUGUUUUGACGUUACCGACAGAAUAAGCACCGGCUAACUUCGUGCCAGCAGCCGCGGUAAUACGAAGGGUGCAAGCGUUAAUCGGAAUUACUGGGCGUAAAGCGCGCGUAGGUGGUUUUGUAAGUUGGAGGUGAAAUCCCCGGGCUCAACCUGGGAACUGCCUCCAAAACUGCAUGACUAGAGUACGGUAGAGGGUAGUGGAAUUUCCUGUGUAGCGGUGAAAUGCGUAGAUAUAGGAAGGAACACCAGUGGCGAAGGCGACUACCUGGACUGAUACUGACACUGAGGUGCGAAAGCGUGGGGAGCAAGCAGGAUUAGAAACCCGGGUAGUCC
This 450-nucleotide ribosomal RNA is filed under the name uncultured bacterium. Its description in RNAcentral is "partial 16S ribosomal RNA". It matches the Rfam family "Bacterial small subunit ribosomal RNA", at positions 354 to 796 of the family's 1533-position model. The record is from RNAcentral.